GCGGCUUUAGCUCACCUGGGAGAGCGUCAGACUGAAGAUCUGGAGGUACUGUGUUCGAGCCACAGAAGCCGCA
Molecule: transfer RNA, 73 nt
Organism: Lodderomyces elongisporus NRRL YB-4239
Lineage: Eukaryota; Fungi; Ascomycota; Pichiomycetes; Serinales; Debaryomycetaceae
Rfam family: tRNA
About the family: Transfer RNA (tRNA) molecules are approximately 80 nucleotides in length.
Source: Rfam